This 77-nucleotide small nucleolar RNA is filed under the name Rosa chinensis. Lineage: Eukaryota; Viridiplantae; Streptophyta; Magnoliopsida; Rosales; Rosaceae. The record is from RNAcentral.
ACAAGAAGUGAUGAUUUGUACCCAUCAUUUCUGCUGUUGAAUGAUGAAUAUUUACAUGCACUACCAUCUGAUCUACG